This 303-nucleotide ribosomal RNA is filed under the name uncultured bacterium. Its description in RNAcentral is "partial 16S ribosomal RNA". It matches the Rfam family "Bacterial small subunit ribosomal RNA", at positions 507 to 807 of the family's 1533-position model. The record is from RNAcentral.
AGCAGUCGCCGCGGUAAUACGUAGGUGGCAAGCGUUGUCCGGAAUUAUUGGGCGUAAAGGGCUCGCAGGCGGUUUCUUAAGUCUGAUGUGAAAGCCCCCGGCUCAACCGGGGAGGGUCAUUGGAAACUGGGAAACUUGAGUGCAGAAGAGGAGAGUGGAAUUCCACGUGUAGCGGUGAAAUGCGUAGAGAUGUGGAGGAACACCAGUGGCGAAGGCGACUCUCUGGUCUGUAACUGACGCUGAGGAGCGAAAGCGUGGGAAGCGAACAGGAUUAGAUACCCCCGUAGUCCCUGUCUCUUAUAC